Phrynosoma platyrhinos (Desert horned lizard) is the source of this 71-nucleotide non-coding RNA. The record is from the annotation of a GenBank genome assembly. Lineage: Eukaryota; Metazoa; Chordata; Lepidosauria; Squamata; Phrynosomatidae.
GCCAGCAUGGCAUAGUGGUUUGAGUGUUUGACUGUGACUCUGGAAACCAGGGUUCAAUUCCUCGCCUGGCC